Molecule: long non-coding RNA, 2761 nt
Organism: Crotalus tigris (Tiger rattlesnake)
Lineage: Eukaryota; Metazoa; Chordata; Lepidosauria; Squamata; Viperidae
Exons: 2
Source: RefSeq, a predicted model, not a curated record
GCUGCUGAGUGCGCCAAAACACCCGGCCGGCAAACUUUGCACAUGUAAGUUGACUGCAGAGAAGGCGAACUGGCAGGAACUUUGCACCCCUCGCUGCUACCCAAUUCCCCCUCUACUAGUUAGUCCUGAAGAUACCUGGAGGAGACUGGAGCGGCGCUGCCACGGCAUGACACAUUGUCCAUGAUUCAGAGCUCAGCUGUGGAAAGAAUCCAAGCACCUCAACCAGCAAAGGUAGCUUCUCAGAAGCCAACAGGAGUGCUAUCUGCUCUGUGCCAAAGGAACUGGGAAGCUGAGGCCAAACCUUCUGCUGCAAUCAACCUGGCAAUCUACUUUAGGUUGCCUUGACAGCCGCAGUAUUGAUCCUCUCUUGCUUACCCUCAAGGAGACCACAGAAGGUUUCUCAUCCAGAGAGACAGUGCUUAUGAAUCAUUGAUUUAGGAAAUCAGGUCUCCCAAUAAUUGCAAUUCCAUUUAUUUUUUUUUCAAGAGGGAAAAUUGGGGUGGGGGUAGAACCGAGUUAAGAUCAGGAGCUGCAUUGGUUUGCUGCCUGCUGGGAAACCCUGUUGUUUCUCACAGUCUGAAUCAUGUGAAUGAGACACAUAAUGCAGGGGGCAUGUGGGAGUCAAAAGCAAAGGCAAGGACCGAACAUGCAAUGGUAUCUUUUAGGGGGGAAAAGGGGGGGGGAAAGGAGGUUAAUCUUGCUGUGUUUUUUGCCACCUUCUAGUGGAUGAAUUGACCUAAACAGUGAUUUUCAUACUAUCUCCUCCACCUAAAAGGCUGUUCUACUGGGAGGAACUACUGUACUGCAGUACUGUAAAUGAACUAUACCUUGAUAAACAACAGGGUGGAUAAUAUUACAAAAGACUGUAUUGUCACCUACUAAUUCUAAUGAUACAGUAUAUUUCUGUGAUAGUACGAUUUGAAGGUCCUCUUCAAUCCACCACCCCCAUUUCUCAGUCUGCUUCAUUAUUCCUUGACCAUUUUUGUUAACGCACAAAAUAAGGCAACCUGGAAAAAUGUAUCACUUGUGGCUGAGCACCAGAUCAAGCAACAAUACAUUUUGACUUGAGCAAUGGAAGGGAAGCGAAUCUCUGCCGUACAUUCUAGAAAACGUAACACCGAAUUAACAGCACAUUAUAAGCAACCUGUAAGAGAUUAAACUCUUCCUCCUAUAAUGGAGGGAUAUGUGGAGUGAAACUCAGCCCAAAUGCACCUCUCUAUAAUCUCCUUUCUCCUUGUUGCAUCCAAAAUAAAAGGUCCAGCAGAUGCAUCAGCAGGAGACAGGGACAAUCAACAGGGCCUGAUAGGGACGACAUAAACCCAGCAAUGAACUAUUCCCUUAAAUCGAUUAUCUUACCUGAGAAGAAGCGUGAUAAAUUAUUACAGCAUCAGCAGGAGAACCAUUAUCCAUAGAUCUGCAUAUGCCGUUUUUUCCUUACUGCAGCUGUCCAGGUUCCUCAAGAUAGGAGCUUCCAAAGUCUCCCAUUUUACACCGUCUCAUGGACAAAAAAGAUCCACCCCCAAAAUUGAAAAGAAACCUUUACAGGAACCUUCUGCCCUGGCGUCUUCCUCUAAAAAUCAUUCCGUGUUCCCCAACAUCCGUAAGGGAGGGGGUGCUUGUGGGGGAAUUAAAAAAAAAAAAAAAGAGGGAAGGAAGAAAAGAGACUGCUCUAUAUUUAAAUAAUGAAAUGAAAACCAAGACUGCAAAUUAAGGGAUACCGCCAUCUACUGGCAAAAGGAAUGGAUAUUAUUUUUCCGUUGUCUUGUUUUUGCACCCCUGUGACAGAAGCUACAUCGUUAGUCACCUAUUCUCAUUUUAAGGACUAAAAAUACACCAACUUUAAACAAGGAAACGACAAACCUUGUAUCUGGUUGCACCGUUCAAAGGAGGGGAGGGGCGGUGACAACAAUAUAACCCCAUUUUAGAAAAUCUUUCCCCAAGCAUGCAGCCGCCUAUGCAAUUACUUAUGUUGAGGCUCCCCCCACCCUUCUGUGCAGCAAUCACAUGAAAUGAUAGGAAUGAAAGGGUUUUCUCAGCCUAUCUGCCAAAAAGGGCACUUGCAAUAUUUGCUGCAAUGUGCAACUUUAAAUUACAAGAUUUUGCACAACUUUCGGAUGACAUUCAUUAUCGACAUAUACAAAGCAGGGAAGACCAAUAUUGCUGAGUGUGCCACUUUUAUAAAAGAAAAAGAAGAAGAAGCAAAAGUAGUGGUAUGACUGUUAAUUGAAUCUGAAAAGAUAAAUUGUGCACUGCAGAUCACUGAAGAGAAUUCUUCAAUGAAAGCCUAUACAUAUUUGCAUGAUAGUGAGUCUAUUGGCUCAGUGCAAUAAAUAGUACUAUUUCUCAAAUGGCACAGAUAUGUAACACCCUUUCAUCACUUCCUCAGAAGGCUUUUGACAUUUGUACUAUCUAUGACUCUGACUUUGGAUCAAUAUUUUCUCAGUUUGCACUUUUCACAAUUUGCCCUAAAAGAGCCCCCCUUGAACUAAAGGAUAAACGGCUGAAAUGUUUUAGAAAGGUAUUCAGUCUUUGAAGGACUAGCAAAUAGAAAAGGGAAAUUUAAGUUACACUAUGUAAUAUUAUGCAUCCUGUCAUGUGACAUGACGUAUCGUGACGUAUUGCGACUUUUUUUGCCUUGGUGGAGCUGGGGUGGGCAAGGCUAGUGUGUGACACAUCCGGCAUGUUGGCUGCCAGUUUGACACCCCUGCUUUAAACUCUAUGAUUCAAGGGCAUUUCACUUAGCUUGGAAUUAACCAUAAAA